ACGGCGAGUGAAGCGGGAAGAGCUCAAAUUUGAAAUCUGGUGGCCUCAGGUCAUCCGAGUUGUAAUCUAUAGAAGUGUUUUCCGUGCUGGCUCAUGUACAAGUCCCUUGGAACAGGGCGUCAUAGAGGGUGAGAAUCCCGUCCUUGACAUGAACUACCAGUGCUCUGUGAUACAUUUUCAACGAGUCGAGUUGUUUGGGAAUGCAGCUCAAAAUGGGUGGUAAAUUCCAUCUAAAGCUAAAUAUUGGCGAGAGACCGAUAGCGAACAAGUACCGUGAGGGAAAGAUGAAAAGCACUUUGGAAAGAGAGUUAAACAGUAUGUGAAAUUGUUGAAAGGGAAACGAUUGAAGUCAGUCGUGCUCUUUGGAUUCAGCCGGUUCUGCCGGUGUACUUCCUUUGAGUGGGGUCAACAUCAGUUUUGAUCGCUGGAUAAAGGCUGGAGGAACGUAGUACCCUCGGGUAAACUUAUAGCCUCCUGUCACAUACAGUGGUUGGGACUGAGGAACGCAGCACGCCUUUAUGGCCGGGAUUCGUCCACGUAC
Molecule: ribosomal RNA, 541 nt
Filed under: Filobasidium magnum
Lineage: Eukaryota; Fungi; Basidiomycota; Tremellomycetes; Filobasidiales; Filobasidiaceae
Description: LSU rRNA
Rfam family: Eukaryotic large subunit ribosomal RNA
Source: RNAcentral